RNAcentral lists this long non-coding RNA (536 nucleotides) under Marmota monax (woodchuck). The record is from RNAcentral. Lineage: Eukaryota; Metazoa; Chordata; Mammalia; Rodentia; Sciuridae.
CUAUUCUUCCUUGUGCAUGAAAUGCUUGCCCCAGAUGGUUAGCUCCCUCAAUCUUACAAAUCUUAGUUUAAAUGUCAUUUCUCUCCUUUGGGCAAGAUUUCCUGAGUACUCUACUUAGAAUAAGCACCACACUCUAGUAUAUUCUCUCAGCCCUUUAUCUCCAUUGUAGAACUUAUCCCAAGUUGUGAUUAUCAUAUAAGACAGUUCACUUGUUUUUAGCCAUCUUCUGUGCUCAGGUGUUAGCUCCAUGAAGGCAGAGAUCCUGUUGCUGUGGUUCACCCCUGGAUAGUACAGCACCUGACAUUGUUGUUGUUGAGGAAAUGAAUGAGGUGCCACAUUCCUAGAUGAUCAUCUGAUAUAAUCACGUUAAAGUGUUCUCUUCUCAGUUCCUCUCAGAGAAACCCCUUGACAAACUGGUAGGGGUUGGAGGUCAUUUCUUGGAAGCAUCAAAAACUAUGAGAAAUUCUCAGGGGGAGGACUAAUAACAGAUGGGAAGUUGUUUGCUAUGUACAUUGCAAUGUGACCCAGAAGUCCCC